GGCAAUGUGACCGAGUGGUUAAGGUGUUGGAUUUAAGUCCCAAUGGGUGCUAACCCGCGCGAGUUCGAACCUCGCCGUUGCCA
Non-coding RNA from Mucidula mucida, 83 nucleotides. The record is from the annotation of a GenBank genome assembly. NCBI's taxonomy places the organism in Eukaryota, Fungi, Basidiomycota, Agaricomycetes, Agaricales, Physalacriaceae.